Molecule: ribosomal RNA, 654 nt
Filed under: uncultured archaeon
Lineage: Archaea
Description: bacterial SSU rRNA
Rfam family: Archaeal small subunit ribosomal RNA
Source: RNAcentral
GCCUAAAGCGUCCGUAGCCGGCUCUGUAAGUUUUCGGUUAAAUCUGUACGCUCAACGUACAGGCUGCCGGAAAUACUGCAGAGCUAGGGAGUGGGAGAGGUAGACGGUACUCGGGAGGAAGUGGUAAAAUGCUUUGAUCUCUCGAUGACCACCUGUGGCGAAGGCGGUCUACCAGAACACGUCCGACGGUGAGGGAUGAAAGCUGGGGGAGCAAACCGGAUUAGAUACCCGGGUAGUCCCAGCUGUAAACGAUGCAGACUCGGUGAUGCGCUGGCUUGUGGCCAGUGCAGUGCCGCAGGGAAGCCGUUAAGUUUGCCGCCUGGGAAGUACGUACGCAAGUAUGAAACUUAAAGGAAUUGGCGGGGGAGCACCACAAGGGGUGAAGCCUGCGGUUCAAUUGGAGUCAACGCCAGAAAUCUUACCCGAAGAGACAGCAGAAUGAAGGUCAAGCUGGAGACUUUACCAGACAAGCUGAGAAGUGGUGCAUGGCCGUCGCCAGCUCGUGCCGUGAGAUGUCCUGUUAAGUCAGGUAACGAGCGAGAUCCCUGCCUCUAGUUGCCACCAUUACUCUCAGGAGUAGUGGGGCGAAUUAGCGGGACCGCCGCAGUUAAUGCGGAGGAAGGAAGGGGCCACGGCAGGUCAGUAUGCCCCGAA